Non-coding RNA from Acanthosepion pharaonis, 112 nucleotides. Lineage: Eukaryota; Metazoa; Mollusca; Cephalopoda; Sepiida; Sepiidae. The record is from the annotation of a GenBank genome assembly.
AUGGUCAUUAUCACAUUGAAACCCCGGUUCUCGUACGAUCAUCGAAGUUAAGCAACGUCGGCCCUGGUCAGUACCUAGAUGGGGGAUCGCUCGGGAAUACCAGGUGCUGUAA